Long non-coding RNA from Triticum dicoccoides, 831 nucleotides. RefSeq lists it as uncharacterized. Lineage: Eukaryota; Viridiplantae; Streptophyta; Magnoliopsida; Poales; Poaceae. The transcript has 3 exons. The record is from RefSeq and is a predicted model, not a curated record.
UACGACAACCACCCACCCGCCGCGCCAGCCAGCCCACACCAGUACCGCCUGCAUCCCGCCGACCCUCCGGCCCCCAGCGAGCCGCUGUCCCUCCCUCUCCUGGGUCCGCCAGCCCCGGCGACGCGCGCCGCCGCCCACCAACUAGGAUCCCGCCACUUCAACUUGUUCUGAACGGGAGCUACAGUGCUGGCCGGCUCUGCUCCUGCGGGACUGCACUCAAUCAUGGCAGCUCCGGCUGAACUUCAGGAAGAUAUAACUAGUGUGUAAGUUGUAUGUAGUCAGAUAAGUGGGCUAGCGCAGUUGGAUGUUGCAACUUACUCCCUCCGUUUCAAAUUACUUGUCGCUGAAAUGGAUGUAUCUAGAACUGAAAUACAUCUAGAUACAUCCAUACGUGCGACAAGUAAUUCCGAACGGAGGAAGUAGUUUCGUAUAAGAGGGUCUGGGUUCGACUCUCUUUCAAUGCCUUCUUUUUUUUUGCCUAUUUUAAACUACAGGCCCGAAAAAAACUGGAGAAGAUGGGAUCCAAGGAGGGUGGUUGCUCGGGAGGAGGUGGGAUCGAAGGGAGAAGAGUCGUGUGGUACUUUUAGCAAUGUGGCACACGUGUGCCAAAUAUCACAGUCAUACCCCUUGGUUCCUAGAAAAACAUCCAUCGGUUUCCUAGAAAAACAUCCAUCGGUGUUCUAUUCCUUGCUUUGAGAUUUGCACUGUGCAUUUCGAACCCUUCUCUCUUCGCCAGCGAACGCUUCUCGAGAUAAGGUGUAUGUCACAAUGGUGCAAAUAUUCACCACGUUCACAUGAACACUUUGAACUAGCAGUAAAACUUUGAGAACA